Long non-coding RNA from Dicentrarchus labrax (European seabass), 5272 nucleotides. The record is from Ensembl. NCBI's taxonomy places the organism in Eukaryota, Metazoa, Chordata, Actinopteri, Moronidae.
UUAUUGAUAUUUUUGUAAUUUGUUUUUUUCUGGUUUUCAGAGACUCAGGAGACAUUUAGUCAGAGGGAAGAGGACGAGACCACAUCGCCAGAUGUGAGCCAUAGCGAUGCAAGAUCAUGGCAGCGCCCAAUGACACCUCCACAAGCCUGUCACCAACAAUCACCAAAAAGGAAAAGGGGUGAGCUGAUGAAGCUCAGGUGUUCCUGGACCCAUCAGAGGACAGAGACAGCUGCAGCAUCAGGACAGUCGGUAACACUUUAUAAUGAGUACACACUAUUAAGCAUUAGUUAAGCAUGAAUAAAUACUGAAUUCAUCAUUUAUAACACAUGAAUACACAUUAGUAUGUAGUUUAUAAACAGUUAAAAAUGUUUUAUUCAUCAUUGAUAAGCACAUUAGUUAUGGAUUAGUAAAUACUGAAUCCAUCAUUUAUAAAGCAUGAUUCUGCUGUAAAUAGUCAUUACUAUGUGGUUUAUAAUCACAGUUAUAAAUGUUUUACUCUUCAUUGUACUGUACAUUUCUGCAUGCACUUGCACAUCCACUAUUCAGACAUGUAUUAAUGAUUAGUGACUGUGUUAGCAGAUGUUCUAUAAAACCCACAACAAAUUCAUGUUCUAAUGAUGGCCUAUAAACAGUGAUUAAUGCAGGAAUUCACAGUUACAAAGCACUUACUACUCGUUAAUUAAGUAUUUUGCACGAGCUCAUCUAAAGUGAGCACUAUCUAUGGUUUAUUAAGGAUUUACAAAUGAGAUACGUUGUACGUUGAGCUCCCGCUCUCAGCACGUCAUCAACUUGAUGACGUGAUGAGAGCGGGAUGUUACGUCAUAUUUACGUUAACUCUCAGAAGUUUCUGACAGUGCAGCCAAGAGGAGCAUGGAGGAGCACAUUGGAGUCGGCGGCCAUCAGCGGCACUAGUGGAGAGUAUAUGUCUUUGUUUGGUAGCACACAUUAUGGUUGAAAGAUAACGUUACUAACGUUAGUAACGUUAGUAACGUUAGUAACGUUAGUCGGGGAGCGAGGGCAAACACCUGCAGCUGCUGACAAGCUAACGUUAUCUUUCAACCAUAAUGUGUGCUACCAAACAAAGACACAUACUCUCCACUAGUGCCGCUGAUGGCCGCCGACUCCAAUGUGCUUCUCCAUGCUCCCCUUGGCUGCACUGUCAGAAACUUCUGAGAGUUAACGUAAAUAUGACGUAACAUCCCGCUCUCAGCACGUCAUCACGUUGAUGACGUGCUGAGAGCGGGAGCUCAACGUACACGUCCCAAACAGAUAAGAUCACAACAAUAGCAUGUCUUCAUAAACCAGCCUUGUUCGUCUUCAUACAAUAUGUUGGGAAGUUGCAGUAAAUAUCAAUACAAUAUGUUCUAUAUCCCUUUGUGUUGUGUCUCUCCUUCGUCUGUUAAGAUAACUGAACAUUUUGUGAGUCUCGAGGCAUUGUCAGCCUUUAUAUCUCAUUUGUAAAUCCUUAAUAAGCCAUAGAUAGUGCUCACUUUAGAUAAGCUCGCGUAAAAUACUUAAUUAACGAGUAGUAAGUGCUUUGUAACUGUGAAUUCCUGCAUUAAUCACUGUUUAUAGGCCAUCAUUAGAACAUGAAUUUGUUGUGGGUUUUAUAGAACAUCUGCUAACACAGUCACUAAUCAUUAAUACAUGUCUGAAUAGUGGAUGUGCAAGUGCAUGCAGAAAUGUACAGCACAAUGAAGAGUAAAACAUUUAUAACUGUGAUUAUAAACCACAUAGUAAUGACUAUUUACAGCAGAAUCAUGCUUUAUAAAUGAUGGAUUCAGUAUUUACUAAUCCAUAACUAAUGUGCUUAUCAAUGAUGAAUAAAACAUUUUUAACUGUGUUUAUAAACUACAUACUAAUGUGUAUUCAUGCGUUAUAAAUGAUGAAUUCAGUAUUUAUUCAUGCUUAACUAAUGCUUAAUAGUGUGUACUCAUUAUAAAGUGUUACCGGACAGGGUAAAGGACACGAUCUGCACGGUUUACAUUGAAGUUAUAGCUUUGUUACUUACAACAUGUGUAACUGGAAUGUGAAUGAAACAAAGUGUUUUACUUUUAAGAAGAGUUUUGGUCAUUUUUAAAUUCAGUAAUAAGUGUGGUUUUAUAUAAAUAACAUGUUAUUUCACAGAGGUUUUAUGAAGAUUUCCUGGAUGUACAAGAGUUGAAAACCUGGUUCGUGUAACAUCUAUCAAUAUGAAAAUGUUAAACCUGUAUUAAUGACUGUAAGCAACACAAUACUUUACUGUCUCACAUUCAAACUUUAUUAUGUUGGAAGAUAAAUGACAUCAUAAUACAGUAUAUAAUAUAAAUGAUAGAAUAUUCAGUAUACAGUAUUUUUAAUAGGGUCCAAACAUAAUUGCAGCUUUUACAAAUAUCUGAAGGUUAACUUUGGCAAUAAUACUUUCAAGUUAAAAAAUCAGACUAUGAAAUAUGGAUGAAUUAAUAUAGCAGUAUUUACCUGAGGAACACGUCACAGAAAGCUGUAGUCCUGAUUGUUGAUGUUGUUCAUUCCUCUGUGAUUUCAGGUCAGACUCCCGCUCUAACAUGUCCGCUGGUGAAGUUUUUGCUUUAGAAGCAGUUAUUGAAUUAAUAUUGACGGUAGAAAUGCAGAUAAACUCAGUAGCAGUGAGGAACUACCUGCCGGCAACGAAGGGGAGGGGCCAGAGCGUCAUCUGCGUGAUCGCGACAUAAUGCUGACCAAUCAGAGCAGACUGGGCUUUUCGUGAGGGGGGUCUUAAAGAGACAGGAGCUGAAACCGAUCGAUUCAGACAGAGGCUGAAAAGAGGUGCUAUAGGCAGUAUGAGAAAAAUAAUGUGUUUUUUGAAGAUUAAAACAUCUAAACCUAUUGUAGGAGAGCCACAAAAUACAAUUAUGAACCUGAAAAGGGGCAUCAUAUGUCUCCUUUAAUAAACUGUCCGUAUUUGGGGACUUCAUGGUUUAGAUUCCCUUUGUUAAAGGCACUGAGAACUAUCUAAAAUUAAAAAAAUCUAAAAUGAUUAGCGGCAAGAGCAUCAUCAUGUUGUCAUGGCGACCAUCAUGAGCGUCCUCUGGAUACCCUUGCACUUCCUCUGACUAACCACAGGGUGGUGGUGUUUCUCUCUGAUGUUUAAUGUCAGCACCAGCAGCAAACACAGAAAUCCACCAUAUGAUAAACUUUAGUUUCCAAUCUGUCACACAGUCAUGGUGGAAGAGCUUAUUUAUUGGUGUGACACCUAUCUAACACCGUACAGAGACAUGUAAUGUCACACAGGUCUCGUCUGGUGAGACAGUUGCAAUAUGUUGAAAAUGAUCAAACUGUUCAGGGUUAUAACAUACAUGAUAGAAAAACCAUCUCUUAACAUGAUAUUAAAUAUAUCAUAAAUGUACCUUUAUUAUUAUUUUAUGUUAUUGAUUGCUGACUCAUAAGAUUGUUUAAAAUCCAGAUCAUGAAGAAAUAAGACUUGUCAACAGAGGUCAAGGAGCCAGAAAUCCCCUCCCCUAAUGAGUACAAUAAACAAUAAAAACAAAAAAUGAGACAUCAUGAAUUAAUCAUCAAGAGAGAAACAUGUCUUGAAAUAAUAUAUGUUAAUUCAAUUUGAAGAAACGAUGAUGGAACAGAAAAACACAAAUAUCUGAUGAAUAAAAUGUCAUAUACUGACACAAUGUUCAGUUUUCUGAUAAGAAGGACAGAGGCCUCAUUAGAGUUUGAGAGAGUUGACAAUCUUACAAAUUGUUUUUUUCAGCAAAAAAGUUCAUUAGUAGUUUUCUGAUGAUCCCUGUUUAAGUUUUUUCCAAUUUAAUUUCUUAUUAGUUGAGAAACUUGAGAUAUGUAUUUUCCCUCUACUGACACUCUAGCAUAAUCUCUGUCAUACCUCCUGCCCCUUCCCACAAUCAUUAUGAAAUCUCACUUUUUAAUAUUUAAUGUGCAAUGUGAAACCAUCUUGAAACUGUCACCAAUUCCUCAUUUAAUUUCACUUACUAGAGUGUGUAAGUUAAGAUUGCAGAGAACAAAAAAGGAAAACAAAACUUAGAAACUAAUGAAAAAUCAUUCCUAUAAAAUUUUAGAAAACAAUAUUUAAGCAGAGUUUGAGGAGUUCAUGAGUGUGUACAGCAGCAGAUAUGAAUCUGUUCUCAGUAGUUAUUAGGACUCAUAAAAAAUUGUUGACAGCGAAUCAACACUUCCUUUCCUGCAGCAGACGGGCUGUGUGGGUUUCCUCUCUGCAGCCUCCUCACCGUUAGCUGCACUUUUUCACAUUAAUAACACAAUGACAGUUACAACCAUCGACUCUGGUUAAAGAAUCAUUCCAGGAACUUCAGUUUGAUUUCAGCUCUCAGUACUCACUGUGAAAGUUGUCUUUAAUUCAAACAGUUUUAUUGAUUCUGUAAAGGUGAUAGUUUAAUGGCAGUUUCUCCAGCCUGACUCCAACUUGUAACAUAAUACAACAUAUUAGGACAUGUGGGAAAGGAUCACAGCCUGCAUACAUUUCUAACAUCAUCAAUACAAAGAUAAUUUCUCAUUUAUUGGUUCUUAUUGAACAUGUUUCAAAUUAGAAUUUUAUUAUAAAUUAUGUCAAAUAGAAGGUUUUAAAAUUUUUUUUUUACAAUGUAUAACUUUUGUGUUUCUUUAUGAAGCAUUUUGUGAUGCUGUCUUUACUUUAAUACAUCGUAAUUAAAGUAUAAUCAGUAACUAUACUAAUCCAUUUCAUCGUUGUCAAACUGUUUAUAAAAAAUAUACACAAUCAUCAUUUAGCCAACAUUCAAACUUCAAACCAACUGAUCAAGCAACGGUAUCAUCAUUUUAUAACAGUUGAAGCUUCAAAGCAGCUCGCUCUGCUGUUUGUUCAUGUGUGGAAAUAACAGUGUCAUCAGCGUAGAAUUUUACAUCCACACUGACACAAUUAUAAAAGGGGCUCAGCACAAAGCCAGUGACAUUGAUUGUGUUUCUAACUUUAUUGCUAUGAAGCCAAACUGAAAUUUGCAAAAUAAGAACAUAGAAAAAAAUAAACAGUGAAUAUCUAGCAGACAGAUAAUGAUUCAGCUUUUCUAUGAUCAUACGAGUCACAAUUAAAAAAUUGGAAAUAAACUAGAGCCAAACUAAACUCAAUUAACACUACAGUAGCACAGAAUUUACACUCACUAACUGCAAAUAUGUAUGUGUAUGUAUUUAUAUUUUUUGGAGCACUUUAUCAAACCUGUUUAUAAAAAGAUUGGUUUCCCAAUUUAUAUCUAAAUUGAAAUUUCUGGCUGCUGAUCAAAGUGAUAAAUGAGAUGAAUUGAUGAGAUUUGACGGAGAG